Molecule: small RNA, 306 nt
Filed under: Castor canadensis (American beaver)
Lineage: Eukaryota; Metazoa; Chordata; Mammalia; Rodentia; Castoridae
Description: 7SK RNA (ENSCCNG00000020008.1)
Rfam family: 7SK RNA (bases 1-192)
About the family: 7SK was discovered as an abundant small nuclear RNA in the mid-70s but a possible function has only recently been suggested. Two independent studies have found that 7SK RNA binds the CDK9/cyclin T complex (known as elongation factor P-TEFb).
Source: RNAcentral
GUAUGUGAGGGCAAUCUGGUUGCAACAUCUGCAAUCCCAUUGAUUAGCAGAACUGAUUCAGUUGAUCUGGCUGGGAAGGCCGGUGGCCCCUUCUUCCCUCACUAUUCCAUGUGCAUCCCUUUUUAAGCUGCAAGUCAGUACAAGAGGACAACCUUCUUUGAUAGAGAAGACUUGUUCUUUAGUCAAGGGUGCUAUGAUGAAUCCUCCAAACAAGUGUUUAGAAAAACAGAGGCUUGAAUAAAUGACACACCUGGUAACCUGACACCGGUCAACAAGUACAUUCACUUUCAGAGUGAGGUUCAGUCU